CCUACGGGAGGCAGCAGUGAGGAAUAUUGGACAAUGGGCGCAAGCCUGAUCCAGCCAUGCCGCGUGCAGGAAGAAGCAUCUAUGGUGUGUAAACUGCUUUUGUACAGGAAGAAACACUCCCUCGUGAGGGAGCUUGACGGUACUGUAAGAAUAAGGACCGGCUAACUCCGUGCCAGCAGCCGCGGUAAUACGGAGGGUCCGAGCGUUAUCCGGAAUCAUUGGGUUUAAAGGGUCCGUAGGCGGUUUAAUAAGUCAGUGGUGAAAUCUGGUCGCUCAACGAUCAAACGGCCAUUGAUACUGUUAGACUUGAAUUAUAAGGAAGUAACUAGAAUAUGUAGUGUAGCGGUGAAAUGCUUAGAUAUUACAUGGAAUACCAAUUGCGAAGGCAGGUUACUACUUAUGGAUUGACGCUGAUGGACGAAAGCGUGGGGAGCGAACAGGAUUAGAUACCCUGGUAGUCCACGCCGUAAACGAUGGAUACUAGCUGUUCGGAGCAAUCUGNGUGNGUAGACGAAGUAGAUAAGUAUACCACCGUCGGGAGGUACGUUCGUCGAAGAAGUAGAAACGUACGAAAGUAAGUAAGUAGACGCGAGAGACGACGACGACGGACGACGACGGGAGGGAGGAGG
RNAcentral lists this ribosomal RNA (629 nucleotides) under uncultured bacterium. RNAcentral describes it as "bacterial SSU rRNA". The stretch from base 1 to 533 matches the Rfam family "Bacterial small subunit ribosomal RNA", at positions 338 to 873 of the family's 1533-position model. The record is from RNAcentral.